GUCAGGAAUAUUGGGCAAUGGGCGAAAGCCUGACCCAGCAACGCCGCGUGAAGGAUGAAGGCCUUCGGGUCGUAAACUUCUGUCGAGAGGGAAGAAUGCGUACGGGUGAAUAAUCUGUGCGUUUGACGGUACCUCCAAAGGAAGCACCGGCUAACUCCGUGCCAGCAGCCGCGGUAAUACGGAGGGUGCAAGCGUUGUUCGGAUUCAUUGGGCGUAAAGCGAGUGUAGGCGGUUUGACAAGUCGGAUGUGAAAUCCCGGGGCCCAACCCCGGAACUGCAUCCGAUACUGUCUGGCUAGAGUCCCGGAGAGGGUGGCGGAAUUCCCGGUGUAGGGGUGAAAUCCGUAGAUAUCGGGAGGAACACCAGUGGCGAAGGCGGCCACCUGGACGGUGACUGACGCUGAGACUCGAAAGCGUGGGUAGCAAACAGGAUUAGAUACCCCAGUAGUCC
RNAcentral lists this ribosomal RNA (450 nucleotides) under uncultured bacterium. RNAcentral's name for it is "bacterial SSU rRNA". It matches the Rfam family "Bacterial small subunit ribosomal RNA", at positions 354 to 796 of the family's 1533-position model. The record is from RNAcentral.